GGGGGGGGGGGGGGGGGGGCGGGGGGCGGGCAGGGCGGGGGGGGGGGGCGGAGGUUGCGCUGCUGGGGCGGUGGCGAGCGGGUGCGUGGCACGUGAGCACUCUGCCCCUGACUCUGGGAUGCGCGCUGGCAACGUCGGCUAAUCCUGGAUCCGCGCUGCGAAGGCAUCUUCAGCAGCUGGCCAGAAUUUCGGUCAGGGAUGACCUCGCGGCCUCUCAGCUUGUUGGUGCGGUACUGGCUCACCAAGGCGCCGACGGGUAGCCGGCCUGAGAGGGUGACCGGCCACACUGGGACUGAGACACGGCCCAGACUCCGACGGGAGGCAGCAGUGGGGAAUAUGGCACAAUGGGCGAAAGCCUGAUGCAGCAACGCCGCGGGAGGGACGACGGCCUUCGGGUUGUAAACCUCUUUUAGCAGGGAAGAAGCGAAAGUGACGGUACCUGCAGAAAAAGCGCCGGCUAACUACGUG
Molecule: ribosomal RNA, 468 nt
Filed under: uncultured bacterium
Lineage: Bacteria
Description: partial 16S ribosomal RNA
Rfam family: Bacterial small subunit ribosomal RNA
Source: RNAcentral